UCCUUCAGGCUGCUCUAAUAAGUCUCUUAAGUCCCUCCAGUUGAUCCAGAAUGCUGCAGCUUGUGUACUCUCUAAAUCUAAAAAAAUAGAUCGCAUUACUCCUGUUUUAACUGCUCUGCACGGCCUUCCUGUAAAAUCCAUCCCAUACUUUGAGAUAGUUUGAGAGCCUGGAUAUCGGGGACAUUUCCAUCCACAGAGCCAUUGAAGACAUUGAACAGUAGAAUAGUAUCACACAGGCUGUUUCUCUGGCAAUGACUGUUGACGUUUUUGUUGACCUGACUGCAAUGAAGGUAUGUGCAUGAAACACACUCGGGACAACAUUCAGAGCGUAGGCCCGCAUGUUUUAAGGGUUUUAGACUUGAGUGCGACACUGUCCUGUCGUAUCUGCUGGUAACCAUCUUGGCUGCAUAGUUUCCUGUCAGUGUUUCCUUUCACAGUUCCUUUUCUAUUUCAGUGUGAUGCUCGAGACACGCAGAUGGUCUCUGGUUCCUUGCGGUUCCUCCAUCAGCUCUGAACUGGAGUGGGUGGCUGACUAGCUGGUCGACUGGCAUUCCCCUCAGACACACAAGGAAUGACAAAAACUUCGAAAAACAAAAGGCCCACCAAAACCUCAAUGGAGUUGGACAAUAAAAUCUUAAUUAGCUACUGGCAAUAAUGAUAAUAAAAAUAUAGUCUAGACAUGCUGUGUUGAAUAAAGAGUGGGGAUUUUACAAGAGCGUAAUGCACAGUUGAAAAAAACUCCAUGUUGUCUGCAAAGCCAGUGACAGUUUAUAUUAUCUUGUUUUAUGAAUAAUAAAAAAGCGUAGCCGUUUUCUUGUUUGCUGAUAUAAGGGGAAAGUAUUCUGGUGGGUGUGAGUGAAGUCUGGGUCACAGUCACACGCUGGAAACAGCUCAGUGUUUCAUUAGUUUGCCUACUGUUGCUUUAUUGUUAUUGAAGUGACUGUUAAUUUAAAUUAACUAUAAUAAAGAGCCAGUAGAGCUUGGAAUCAUGGAAUACUCUUCAACAGUAGUCUUGGAGAUUGCCUGUGUGAAAGAGGGAGCGCUUGCCUCGCAGUAUUUGUUUUAAAUGCAUCGUUUCAUGUUGGGGUUUAUAAAGAUGGAUGAUAGAUAGUAAAAUACAUACACAUAUAUAGUGGACUUACAUCAUGUGAGGGGUCAAAGGGCACGAUAUGAUUAAUGGAGCUAGAGUAGCCACACAUGUACUCAAGUAAAAGUAUUGCAAAGUAGAAUGAAAAAAUUACUUGAGAACAAACGGAUUUACUGAAAGAAAUGACUGCACACAAUUUAUAAGCAAUAAGUAGGAUUAUAGGAUAGAAUUUUAUUGGGGACUAAUAUAUUGUCUAUUCAGUAUUAGUGUUGACACUUGUUUCAUGAUUCAUAACUAGCCGUGUGUAUUUCAGCAUGUUUAUACAUGAGUGUAUCGAUCUAUGGUAUGUGUUUUAUGUGAUGCAGCAGCUUUAAAAUUUAAACCCCAGAUGGUUUUCAGGUAAACUAAAGGAAGCAAACAUAAAAAGAAAGAGGUAAAAUGCAAAGACCAUCGUCUGUGGAUUAGAUGACCUGCCACAUGAAAGUAUUCACCUUAGUAAAGAAUGUUGGCCUCUCUCUCUUCAUCCGGCUUCAUUGACUAGCUAAAUGCACCCCGCUGUAAUAUAUUCAUAUUAUGACAGAUAGCAGGUGUCGUAGUUUUGGAACAUGAUAUGCUGUGUCUGUGUAUAUUUAAACCUAUUAGCAUUAACACACACACACUGGCUUUCUGCACGGUUCUCUCGGGUGCUGACUUCAGACCAGCGUUCCCAACCCCAGCUGCGCAGUUACCUUGUCUGUAAAUAUUAGCUGCUGCUAGCGCUAUUUGAUAGCCAUAACUUUACCGUGAGGGGUCGUUCACAUGUUGUGAAUAACAAACCUCCUGCUGUGGCUCCAGGCCGCUUUGAACAGAGAGUCACAUGGAGGUGUGGUCGCGAUGGGACGACGGAGCGCCAGCAGACCUGGGACCAACUCGUCCCAUAGACCCAGACCUUCACAGCCCAGUGGAGGGGACCACUUGCCUCUUCACAGGAUGUCCUUGAGCGUGAUAGUCUGUGACUCGUGGACUACAGGAAGCGGAGAGGAGAGCACACCCCCAUCUCCAUAGACGGAGUUGCAGUAGAGAGGGUCAGCAGCUUCAAGUUCCUCGGCGUGCACAUCUCCGAGGACCUCACAUGGACCACGCACACCACUCACGUGGUGAAAAGGGCCCAACAACGCCUGUAUUUCCUUAGGCGACUGAGGAAAUUCAACAUGGCCCCCCGCAUCCUCAGAACAUUCUACACCAGUACCAUCGAGAGUGUUCUGACAGGUUGCAUCACCGUCUGGUACGGGAACUGCACCGCCCUGGAGCGUAGGGCACUACAGAGGGUGGUGCGGUCGGCACAGUACAUCGUUGGAGGUGAGCUUACCUCCAUCCUGGACAUAUACACCAAGCGGUGCGUGGCCAGGGCCAAACGGAUGAUGAAAGACAAUAACCACCCCGGCCACAAACUGUUCACCCUUCUACCGUCAGGCAGGCGAUACCGCAGUAUCAAGUGUCAGACAAACAGACUGAGGACAGCUUCUUCAGUCAGGCCAUCAGGCUGCUGAACAAGGACUGAGACCCUCAUUAACACUACACACCAGAACAUAUUCUGUGAAUAUCUAUGGCCAUGGUGUAUAUUUUAUUACAUUGUUUAUAUAUAUAUAUAUUGUAUAUAUAUAUUGUAUGUAUAUACAUAUAUAUAUAUAUAGUCUCAAAAAAAGUGUAUAUUUUAUUACAUUGUUUUAUAUAUAUAUAUUGCCAUGAUGUAUAUUCUAUUACAUUGUUUUAUAUAUAUAUUGUUAAUACUUUCUUCUUUUUUUUGUGUGGAUAUUGUAUAGUUUAUUCUCAUUCUUAUUCUUUUUUUAGUCUGCUACUGCUGUCGGGUGUUUUGCACAUAAGAAUUUCACGAACCGAUUAUACUUGUAUAAAAGGGGAUGUGACAAUAAAAAACUUGAAAC
Pseudoliparis swirei is the source of this 3009-nucleotide RNA transcript. RefSeq lists it as uncharacterized. The transcript is spliced from 2 exons. NCBI's taxonomy places the organism in Eukaryota, Metazoa, Chordata, Actinopteri, Perciformes, Liparidae. The record is from RefSeq and is a predicted model, not a curated record.